RNAcentral lists this long non-coding RNA (1105 nucleotides) under Homo sapiens (human). Its description in RNAcentral is "HSALNT0052926". The record is from RNAcentral. Lineage: Eukaryota; Metazoa; Chordata; Mammalia; Primates; Hominidae.
CUCAAACUCCGUUUUUUGCCUUUUGGUGUGACCAGAUGCCUGGAGGGUGUGGAGAUGGGUAUUUCCCUUUCCUCAGGUAGAUUAGGCUCCGGUAAAACUUCAGAGGUGAGAUUCUGCCUGAAUAAUUUCUCCUAAGGACAGAUCUUGUUAACAAGAACGGAAUGCUCUGGUAUAUUUCAAGAUGGUUCUUCUCUCCUCCUACCCCAUGUCCCCUUUGACUAGAAGCAAGAUGGGUUUUUUAACUCUGAUAUUCACUGUGAGAUAAAGCUCCUGGAGGUGAAACUUACAAAAAAAGUGGGGUCACUGUGACUGGGUCCACCGGAAGAUUUUAACUCUCAAGAAUUGCCUACACUGAGCUUCAAGCAAUUUGUCAAUUACAGUUCAGGUUUUCCUACCCAGCACUGGUUCCGGAGGAGGUUGCAAGUUGUCUGAGUUUCUGCUCUAAUGUGGCAUCUUAUUUUCUUCAGCAUCCACCUGUCUAUCUUGAUUUGUCCAGGCUUUCCUAAUGCAUUAGUGCUUCAGUCCGUUCUCCAGGUUGAGAUAGCAAUCCCUCAUAUCACUUUGGAAUAAGUUGCUUUGUACGUUUCAUGAAGAAAGAAGCUCUGCUUGUCUCAUUUAUUGCUGCAUCUUCCUUGCAGUGCAAUUUGAGGAAAACAAGAAGGCAGAUGUUUUGCCAUUGAGCCAGAAUUAAGGUUGUCAAUUCCAAGGACAAGAUUUGGCAGCAUUCCUGCAACACAAAAAUGUUAUCACUAGGAGUCACUGGCAUGUCAUAGAUCUGGGUUUCCUCCAAGGAGCAUGGCAAGUGCCCUGAGUUGUACUUCUUUCACACCCAUGGAAAAAAGAGCCCAUUAAGGAUAAAUGCAUCAUCUAUGAUCAUAAUUGAAAGUGGUACAGCAACUACUGCAGCCUGGAUUCUCCACCUGUGCCUACUUUUUAUGCGUAACAUUUAACUUUUCUUAUUCACAAAAAUGGCAUAGUUGGAUAUCUUUAUUGCAUACUUUUUGAAAGAAUUUUUGAUGUUAAUUAAGAAUUUCUCUCAGAUCACAAUACAUACCAUCAGAACUGCAUAUUUUUAUUAUGCCCUAAAUAUUUCCUCCUCACCCCU